Eremothecium gossypii ATCC 10895 is the source of this 241-nucleotide small nuclear RNA. RefSeq annotates it as AgSNR37. The record is from RefSeq. The transcript has a single exon. Lineage: Eukaryota; Fungi; Ascomycota; Saccharomycetes; Saccharomycetales; Saccharomycetaceae.
AUCAUCAGUAGUGGUUAAUACUAUCUCAAGAUAAUAUUAAUUACAUUUUCCUAGAAACCUAUCAUCCAUUAUUUGAUCUUUUGCUGUGUGCGCAUGUUCGCAUGUGCAUGCACGAGUUGAUACUGGGGUCAAGUAGUGGAUGCGAUUUUAACCCAUAGCUGAGCGGGUUCUGACCGGCCCCAAACAAGCCGGGCACAGUUCCCACUUCGUUUCGGUUUCUUAGAUUAAAACUGCUAUGGGA